AUGUCCUCCAUCACGAUCUCGAAUGAAACUAUCCAUGGAAUCGUGCGCCGUGUGAAACGUAGAUCAUCGCCGUUCUUAACCGAGACUCAGGUUCAGCUCUGUCUUGGAACCACCGGGUUAGGAGUAAAGCAUCCUAAGGUUGGCGCAUCUCGUUGGGCGUGGAGAAGCAUUGGGAACCCCAAUAUCUUUCUUCGGAGCAGUUUCUUUUCCCGUCCCCUUGCCCCGGCAUAG
Molecule: ribosomal RNA, 231 nt
Filed under: Triticum aestivum (bread wheat)
Lineage: Eukaryota; Viridiplantae; Streptophyta; Magnoliopsida; Poales; Poaceae
Description: partial small subunit ribosomal RNA
Source: RNAcentral